GGACAUAAUAGCGCUAAAUUGAAUAAAUUAUUUAAUAAAUGUAUUUAAAACUUCCUUACUAAGAUAUUGAAUGUACUCAGUAAAAUUGUAAAGUUUAUUUGUUAAUUAAGUUAAUUUGGUCAUGUGAACUGUUCUGGUUAUUUUACUUCUUAUAAUCAAACAAUUUACUUGAUUUGAAUAAAACCAAUUAACCUGCUUGUUACACAUGGAUUUUUGAGGUUGCACCAUUAAAUAAGUUUUUACACUGCAGAAAGUGUCUAGAUGUGCUGAACAAAAAUCUGUUUGAUUACAGUUCAAAUGGCCACUCAGUUCACACUUGUAUAAAGUAAGACAUAUAAGCUUGUGUGUGUUUGCUGCUCCCACCUGUACACAGAUGUCAUCCAUCUGAAGAGAGACACUUUAAACACUAAACACAGAGUUGUGUCUGAGUGAUCUUCUCGUCUGCCUUCCCCUACCAUUCUACCUACCAGCCUACCAUUCAUAGCAGUCCCAGCAGUCGCUGUUGUGUAGUUUCAUUUUGUGGUGACAGAUCGCAUUUCAUCUUUCUUUGUAGUACUUUCUUAUUUUACAGCCACUUUUUUCAUUUUAAAUGUUUUCUUUUUGAUUUCUUGCCCUCCAUCAACUUCCUCAGUUUCUUCGGCAUUUUGGCCCAAUUAAAACCGGAUGCGUCCCCUUCACAUUUGUUAUACUGGAAUUGAUGGCAUUCCAGAUUAUCAUCGAGUGUACAAGCCUUUAAACUUAACAAUACAAUGAGUAAUGCAUAUAAAUAUGUUUAUAUAUCGUGCAUGCUUAUAGUCAGCAGACACAUUCAUAUUUUCUGGACAAACAGCUCUUUGUGAAUAUAACCCAUCAGCAGUAAAGGUGGAGCGUUCGUGGACGUUGGAGUUCAUUCAGGUGUGCGCAUCUAAUGAGGAGACGCCGGUUCAGGUGUGUUGGAGUCGGAUGACAGUGGAGAUCAGCACAGCACCUGACACUCGUCCUCAGUACACAAAGAAGAAGAGAGUUCACAGUUCAGAGAGAAAACCAGGGCAAACACCAUCAUCACAAAACAAAACAGCCAAGCCACUGGAGAGGAAUAAAGCUGGAGAGGCUGGAACAGGUCGAUGCUGAGCUGUACUGUAGCUGCAGUGUAAACCAGCGUUAGCUACAAACCAACACUAGCAGAUGUGUUUCAGUAGCUUUCUUGGACACUAACAUUAGUGGGUUAUGCUUGAACAACGCCAUGGUGCUUCACCGUCUUUAUGAGCUUUAGUGCAUUUUAUUCAGUAUGAGCGGAAUCUGAACACAUCCGCUUUGUUAGACGACUGAAAGAAAGCUGUCGCACGUUAGCCAACUAGCUAGUGAACUAGCGCGACUGGAAAAGCUGCCGAGCACCAGCUGACUGUCUGCGGAUUACAGUGCAGAUCAGCACAGCCGCUUUCUCCUGUUGUUUGAAGUUUAGCUCUUCGAUUCGUUUGCUGUAGGUCUUUAUCUGGCUUUUAUUCCCCGUCUACGUACGUCAAGAAUGUAAAAGUGAGAUUUAAGGGGCGAAAUUAGCAGCCACACCCGAGCGACCGAGCUAGCUCGCUAAAUCGCUCGCUCGUCUCGGUCAUUUCUGUGUAAAACACAGAGUGUCUGACUAGAUGACAUUAACAUGGAUGAUUAAAUGCGCCCAGCUAGCUUGUAUGCACGUCUGGAGUGGUGCUUUACAACUCGAGGUUGACCGUAUUGAUGUAUGUCUGUGUUGUCUGUUGUCUGUAUUGCAGAUGCGCAGCGGUCUACCGCGUUCAUUGUAAGUGUUCACUAAGCAAACCACGACCGUGUCGGUACUGUUCUGUAUGUGGCACUGCUGUGUGUGUUCGUCUUUCUACAGUUUGGGUAUUGACCAACAAUUCAAGUAAGCAGCCUGUCAAAGUUUUAUGUGUGCGCAUGUCGUCUUUUGUCUCCGCAGACGUGCGUGCACACGAUGUUUGUCUCUUCCUCUCUUGUUUCCUUUUGGACAGAAUGGAUUACAAGCCUGCAUUUAAUCGAGAGACCUCCGGCGAGCUCACCCUCCAGCCUUCGCCCGAGGCCGUGGAGCAGUCCAACGCCUACAAGCGGCGGCCGGCUCCGUCUUGGGCUUGGAGCACCGAGAGGAUGAGGGAGGAGGCCAAGGACCAUGUGAUGGAGAGCAGGGGACGACCCCAGGAACGCCUGGCUGGUGCUGAGCGAGAGCACAGUCCAGUGCGGGCAGUACCGGGGUCAAACAUUUAAAUGGCUGCUGACCCACGACAUGGGAUACGCCGUCAUGGUGUUGGCGGCCCUUCAAUGGGAGCACGAGGGUGAAGAGACUUUGAUGUUGCCUGCUAUGGUCAACAAGGAUGCCCUGGUCCAGGACGCGAGCCUCUUUCCAGAUGUAAUGAGAGCCAUCGGGGAGCGCCGGACCAGGGACGGGUCCUCCUCUCCUGGGCGGGAGAAACAGCGUCUCGUCGGCUUCGGGGAACACCAGAGUGUCUCGUACAGGGACCUGUAUGAGGGUAAGCACAGGGAGAAGAGGAGGCAGGUGCUGAAUUCACGCAUGACAAACACAGCAGCGUUGGAACGUGGAACGUUUUGCGGUUACGUGUGAGGUUUUGUUAAUCCAGCCACGUCCAGCGGAUCCGGCGGCAGACGGUGAGGCCUGGGAGCAAGAUGGAGGCGCUGCAAAAGUACAUCCAGGGCAGAGACGGGAAGGAGAGCGGCCGGACACAGACGUGCUCCGCAACCGUGGCGACCACCUCCCCAUCUGUGCCUGCUCCGGCACCAGCGGCCCAUCUUCCAGGUGCGUGCAUGCGGGCGGGUGUGGGUGGAUGACCGAGUCAUUGAGUGCCUUUGAAUGUGACUCCUUUCUGGUGUCUGAAGUUGCUCCUUGUUUCCAUACGCAGGUGUCUCCAGCCAUUGGAGUUCCACAGCCAGCAGGCACGCACAGGAGCCUUCCGAUGCCGAGCUGCUGGCUGUGUCCAUGGAACCGGACACUGAAGAUGAGUUGUCCUGCUGAAUGGACUGAGUGAACUACACAAGUAUAAAAUAGAAGCUUCCUCUUCCUCUGCUCCGGAGGUCCCUGCCCCACCCCAGCACUCCCUGCCGACGGCUGAACCAGAAAAGCAGCCUUCGCAAACGCAGCCAGUGCCCACUGCUGAGAUGAGCAGCACCAGCCCCCCUCUGGUGCUUUUGUGGUAGGUUGAGGAAAACGCCAAGCCCAUGUUCACGAUGCAUCUGUUUGUUCGUUUAAGAUGACCAGUGGGUCAGCCGGACGCUCUUCACCAGAGUGCAGUCUGGGAGGCCGGCACUGACCAAGAAUCUGCGUCUGUGGUGGUCUCCUCCCGGACCCCGGCUGGUUUACCUGCAACCUCCGUCUUCGCCCGACGCUUUCUUCCACAGCGGACUGUUCCUGUGGAUGCCGUACCGCAUGUGGCCAUUCAAGCUGCUGUGUGCGUAGCCCGAGUGCCGUCGGCUGGGCCGUAAGUCGACGGCCUGUGGGCUGUACAAGACCGUCCGGAGGGUUGUACAGGCUUCUGUGCGUCAGGCUCAAGAAGCUUCUGGCCCCGGGCACUGACCCCAGCACCAUCGCCCGCCAGCUGCCCCCGAUGGUGCCGCUGCCCACUCCAAAACGGCUGCUGCAAGGAGCAAAUAGGAUGUGGAGAAGGGGCACGAGAAAACAUAAGUUUUAAUGAACAUACAGUGAUGACACAUCUAACACCACACUAAACACCUUUCAAACACCAACAACAUGUACUACAACACAAGAGACAUACACACACAAGACGAUCACACAUAAUACAGAACAGGUGGACGACAUUUAUUGUUCAUCAAAUAAAUAAUAACAAUCAAAGUAACAAGUGCAUCUUUUGUAAGCAUGUGUCUAAUUACCAGCAAGUCGCAAACAUGCUCAUUCACUUUAUUAAAGAACAAAGCAGUUUAAAUAGGCGUCCAUUCACUUUGUGCAACAGAAUGCAAAAUAAACUGCUGCCAUUCACUUUGGGAAGUACAAAGCAGAAUAAAUGAGAUGUAAAAUACUGUAUAAAU
Non-coding RNA from Electrophorus electricus (electric eel), 4023 nucleotides. The record is from RefSeq and is a predicted model, not a curated record. NCBI's taxonomy places the organism in Eukaryota, Metazoa, Chordata, Actinopteri, Gymnotiformes, Gymnotidae.